GUGCCACUUUUUGCUUCAGAGCUGAGCUAAACUGCCUUGCAAGCUUCAAUCUCAGCGCAGAGCUAUUCGGAGCCUUCCAGAAAACCCUGAAAUUUUGACUAAGGCCUUGUCUAUACUAGUAAGUUUGCACCGUUUUUCCUCACUGUUGCCAGUGCACUGCUAUAAUUGCACUUCGGUGAGCCUGUACGUAGACACCAGCGCUGAACUGGCAGUCAGGGUUGUGCAGCAUCACACGCUCGGGGGGUGCUGGGCACAGGAGGAAAGGGGCAUGCCUCAGCACAGCGUGCCCGCAUUUGAGCUGGGGGUUUCCAGCCCACCUCUUCCGCAGUUUCCUGCUCGUCGUACUUCUCUGCGGGAGAGCUGCGCUGCUUGGUCGAGCCGCGUGGCCUGGACACGGCAGGAAGGAAGGAAAGACAACAUGGAGCUGUAGGCUGGCCACAGAAGACUUGGAUGAGUGAACACGAAGCCAAACCGUGAGGAUGUUUCUGCAACUGGCCGCAGCGAUGGACUUCACACUUCUGCUGCCCAGAAGAAGGCCCGUUACAGUCGCAGCCCCUCGUACCGGUGGGCAUAGGGGCUGUCUUUCCUGGCGCUCCCUGCAUUGCCAGCUGUCCAAAGGGAGAGCAGAGCAGAGGGAGAGCCAGUAAAUGGCUCUGAAAUGGCCCCCAAGAAAGGGGAACACACUGUAUGGCUUUGUUUUAUUCACCAUGGAUAUCCUCCCUCUGGCUGACGAGCUCUGCCUCUUUUCAGACAGAUUUGAAGCAAAUAACUCCAUGCGACUUAGGUUAAACUAACAGGAAACACUGCUUAGAAGGAGAAGACGGUGUUCUUUGGGGGCAAACUAAGGCUCCAGCAAGGCACUUAAGCACAUGUGAACCAAAGCAUACCAUUGAAUUUGCCUCCAGCAGGGGAACAAAGUCCACUGACAGUGUAAUGGAAGAUAUUUGAAGCGCAGAAUAAGAAGACACUAGGGCUGCCGGUUGCCGUAUUGAAGAUUCCCGUAAUUUCAGCGGUAAGCCACAGCAGGCUGCUCUCAAUCAACAGCAGCAGCGUCACAGCAAGCAACAAAAGUAACAAAUUUCCCUCCAAGCAAGCACACUCUGGCUUCAUUCAGGCACACAAAUGUGCUCCAAAUCCCAAAUCACAGUCUCCCAGCCCAGCAAGACAGAGGCUGCAAACUGAGUUGAAACAAAACAGAUAAGCAAGUGGAAACAUUUUCUUCCAGCAGAAAAAUAACCCACAUAUUUGCACUUUGCCUACCUGCUGGAACCGUUGUUCCUUCCCGUGAUCCCGCUGCGGCGUUUCUCUUCUCCAGGCUGAGGGCCCAGGCCCGUUGGGUGCGAAGCACCUUCUCCCUUUGACCGGCAAUGGAGAUUCUUCAUUUCUCAGGAGAGGUGAAGAGCCUCUGACUUUGGGGAACCUCAGCUGCCGAUGAAAGAGUCUGGAAAAGCUGCCGUCAGUACUCUUAAUCUGAACCUGCUUUCAGAGCAAUGGAAGCAGGAGCAGGAACCAUGCUUUCUUCAGCCUUGUUUCUUUAAUUUCCAGCUCGCCAUUUGCAUAACUAACUAAUUUAGCCUCAUCUUCCAGCUGAAGGUACAAUGAGGCUUUCACUAUAGCAAAUACACACAUACGGAAACAGAUGAAUGGAAGCCGCAGGUGGUGGUCAGCACCGAACACUGGCUUUUGCGAAGCACUGACAUUACUUAGACGCCGGAGAUUUCUCCUGGCUUUUUGUGGAGACAGAUAUGAGAAGCACUGAUCUGCUUGUCUAAUCAUAAAUGCUUGCUGAAAAGUGGAAAAAAACAACUAUUUUUAUGUGCAUCCAGAAGAAGAUACUAUUAGAAGUUACUGUCAUUUGCAAGUUUUCAGUAUGGCUUACAAUUAUCUAUAAAUAUCACUAUAUUUACAAAUGCUGUCUAAUGCUGUAUUAAAACACCAUGAUUAAAAGGAGGAAAUAUUUAAAAAAAUCAUAUUAGAAUAAAUUACACUGUGUCAUCCAAUUUCAGAAAAUACUUUAGCAUGUAGGACUGGACUCCUUUUCUCCUCCACUAACAUUAAUGGAAGAAUAUAGAAAGAUAAGAAAGUCAGGAAAGAAAUCAGAUGGAAAAUAAGUGGUGGUAGGGAAAACUCUCAAGGUUACAGGAGAUCCGAAAAAUGUUAAAAUCCAGACCAGACAACAUCAGUUUCAUUUUUGUAUCAGAACAAGAGAGCAGCGUGUGGGCCCAUUUCAUGUUGAUAUUGAUUCUUUUUUCUCACCUGUCCUGACUAUCUCCUGAAGAAUCAGAAGGAUAUAAGAUAUAUAAAAUCAGUAUUUAAUACAUUUAUAUUUAAAAUUUUAAAUGAAUUUUAAAUGCAUUUUAAAACUUUUUAAAAGAUUUUUUAAAUGAAUCAUCAUUUAAAUGAUAAUUUAAAAUUUGACAGUAGUUUGCUUCUUGAACUAAAAUAUGCCAGCACACAGUUUCCUCACAGAAAAACAAUGUCAUAACAGCUGAAUAAAGGAGACAUGACAGAAUGAUGAAGCAUUUCUUCACAUAAUAAGGCCCUACGAUGGCAUCAAAUCAAUGGAGUCUACAGGGCUGCAAAAACUAGGAAUCCUAGAAAACUGCAGAUGUGAUGAGCAUAACUGAAUUUCCACUUCUGCGCUGACUAGUAUAUGUGGAAAAAAUUUCUUCCUUGUAUUAACCAAGCAUGACUAUUCCAAACUGUGUGUACAAUUGUACUCUAAUACGAAAAAAAAUGCUGUUGUGAAUGUAUAUUAUUCUGCAGGUCUACCUUCAGGAGUCGGGCUCAUUUCUCACAGCUGCCUGGUUGCUAAGGAUAGCUGAUGUAUAUAGAUGUAGACUGCUCAUUGCAUGCAUAUAUGCACUGUAUUGAGUGAGGAUUUGAAAAGAAUGCCUCUGCUGGUACUUCUACACAUUUUUCUGUUUGAAUCAUUUCUUGAAUGUAAAUUGAGAUAAGCCUGGAGUAUAGUACAGAACCAAAUGCUGAGGUGUCUGUAUGUACUAGAGAUUUUUCUUGUCCUACUCGUACAAACAAGUUAAUUCCACAGUCAACCUAAUUUUGUGCUGCUUCGGGUCCAUGGUUUAAUGGCAGAAGUUCCAGCUGGGGACAAAAAACAUUGAAUAAGGGCUAUAGCCUCAUUAGAAGCCAGAACCCAUCCAAAAGGAGACAUUUGCUGUAUCAUUAGCAAAUAGUGCAGUGCUGUGGGAGCAGAUCUGGAAUGGGGAACAUCUGGUGCUGAGGAUGUCAUGUCCACACUGCAUGUGUUUUGGAGGUUGCAUACCAGACUGAUGCUCAUCUGACCCCAUGGACUGACUGCCGAGUACCACUUGCGGUGCGUCCUUGGGCUAAAAUCUUUAUUCUUGAAGCUUUUUAUAAAAAUUAUCACAAAGUUUUUAUUUUCUACCCUAUAAGCAACUAGGGUGGUGGAGAAAAUGAUGAAAUUAUUUGUUUUGAGAGCACUUACAAAAGUGUGGAUUCUCAUCCAAAUUGCACAGCAGACACAUGGCGACCUCCAGACUAAAUCUGUUGGUUCUGCAAAUCUGAAUGCAAAUUUUGUGCCUUUUUCUGCAAACCCGAACGCUUCAUGAACACCUCUAUCAAGCUUUGUUCUGACAGAUUUUAGCAAACUGCUUGAAUGGAGACUCAGCAAAUAAAGUUUUAUACUAUUUUCCAGAUCUAAUUAAUUUAAUAAUUGUUUCUUCAGGUGCCACUUUUUUGAACAAUUUCUUUUCCAUUCUGUCAUUGCUCAGCUACCUGUAUACAAAAUCGUCAGGGUCCAGAAGUGAGCUCUUUGCACAGAUUUCUACUCACAUGGGUUUAUUGUGUCACUCUCAG
Long non-coding RNA from Dromaius novaehollandiae (emu), 3837 nucleotides. RefSeq lists it as uncharacterized. NCBI's taxonomy places the organism in Eukaryota, Metazoa, Chordata, Aves, Casuariiformes, Dromaiidae. The transcript has 5 exons. The record is from RefSeq and is a predicted model, not a curated record.